GGAGUGGAGUAUCCCGGGAGCUCAGGGGGUAGGACAUAAAGAGUGAGCAUGGACUGGAACUGGUUUUCCCUUUACCUGACUUUUACCACUGGAGCACCAUGGACUCUCUGAGUCUUUGCCAGGGCACCCAACUAUCCCUUCACUGUCCGACUGAGCCCAGACACACUACUGGACAGUCAUUUUGCUGUUUAUUCCAUACCAAAACCAGGGGAACCACUGCAGCAACAGUCUCAGAGCACUUUGGAGGCCACCCCAGCCCCCGCACUGCUGCCACUUCAGAGCUGUUUUGCAAUACCCAUGCCACUGCUACACCAGAACCCAUGCCAGCACCUCUGCAGCAUAAAACCUUUCAGACAAAAUAACCUUCGAGGUUUUGUUUUAGCCUGGGAGGGGGAGGAGGGCUAGAGAACAUUCUGCUACUGUUGUUUUUCUUUCUUUUUUAGUACAUUUUUUUUCCUUUAUUCGGGCUCAUAAUUUUUUACUCUCUUUCUCUAUUUUGGGGAGAGGAAAAUAAUAAGUGGAGGAGGGUUCAUCUCAUUAGAGGUCCCACCUCCUGAAUAUAUUGACAUUAAAGCAAGACAGCUUUAUACUUCUGUGGAUCUGAUGUGCCAGACCAUCGAAUCCACACAGUCCAGUUGACCUGAUCAUCCUUUUCCUCCUCCUGGCUGAAGGCAGGGACCCUCUAUUCCUGUUCCUGGUCAGAGUAUUCACUGUCUGACCUUUGUGAUGCCAGACCAGAAGUCCCCUCAUCAGGAUCAAAGGAGGUAAUUUCAGUCCUUUUACCCACUGCCUUCAACUCACUACAAUCUGGGAGAUCACUGAUUGCUUUCUUGUGUCUCUGCGGCGACUACAUGGACAACAUUCUUGGGUCACCCCUUCUCAACAGCUCUCUUCCCUCUCAGUUCACAUACACAGGCUUCCAGCUCAAAGGUGUCUGAAGAGGAGAGGAAGUGCCAACAAAACUGUUUCCAGUGCCUGUGUUUACCUGCACUUGAGAGAUCUACCAGCAGGAAAUUCUAAAAUAAUAAAGUUACCUCCAGAAACAGAAGAUAACUGCAUCAGAAUUAGAGACUCUAAAGUGAAUGCAUCACCUUUUUGUGUUUACAAAAAGCAAUUUUUAGCAUAAGACCAUAAUAACUUUGUGCCUUUAAGUUUUUUUUUACUGGAA
This is a long non-coding RNA of Myiozetetes cayanensis, 1168 nucleotides long. RefSeq lists it as uncharacterized. The transcript is spliced from 2 exons. The record is from RefSeq and is a predicted model, not a curated record. NCBI's taxonomy places the organism in Eukaryota, Metazoa, Chordata, Aves, Passeriformes, Tyrannidae.